This 1456-nucleotide ribosomal RNA is filed under the name uncultured Bordetella sp. RNAcentral describes it as "partial 16S-23S ribosomal RNA intergenic spacer". It matches the Rfam family "Bacterial small subunit ribosomal RNA". Lineage: Bacteria; Pseudomonadati; Pseudomonadota; Betaproteobacteria; Burkholderiales; Alcaligenaceae. The record is from RNAcentral.
GUUUUUAGUCUGGCUCAGAUUGAACGCUGGCGGGAUGCUUUACAUGCAAGUCGAACGGCGGCACGGACUUCGGUCUGGUGGCGGUAGCGAACGGGUGAUAAUGUAUCGGAACGUGCCUAAUGGCGGGGAUAACUACGCGAAAACAUGUGCUCCACCACGCCCGCCCUUCAGGAAAGCAGGAGACCUUCGGGCCUCGCACUAUUAGAGCGGCCGAUAUCAAUUAGCUAGUUGGUGGGGUAACGUCCGCAAGGCGACGAUCCGUAGCUGGUUUGAGAGGACGACCAGCCACACUGGGACUGAGACACGGCCCAGACUCUACAGGAGGCAAGUGGGGAAUUUUGGACAAUGGGGAAACCCUGAUCCAGCCAUCCCCGCGUGUGCGAUGAAGGCCUUCGGGUUGUGCUUUUGGCGGGAAAGAAACGGCACGGGAUAAUACCCCGUGCAACUGACGGUACCUGCAGAAUAAGCACCAAAGCUAACUACGUGCCAGCAACCGCGGUAAUACGUAGGGUGCAGCGUUAAUCAGGUUACUGGGCGUAAAGCGUGCGCGGUUCGGAAGAAGAUGCUGAAAUCCCAGAGCUUAACUUUUGGAACUGCAUUUUUAACUACCGAGCUAGAGAGUGUGGGAGGAGGUGGGAUUCCGCGAUGUAGCAGUGAAAUGCGUAGAUAUGCCCGGAGGAGCACCGAUGGCGAAGGCAACCUGGGAUAACACUGACGCUCAUGCACGAAAGCGUGGGGAGCAAACGGGAUUAGAUACCCUGGUAGUCCACGCCUAAACGAUGUCAACUAGCUGUUGGGGCCUUCGGGCCUUGGUAACAGCUAACGCGUGAAGUUGACCGCCUGCCGGGGAGUACGGUCGCGAGAUUAAAACUCAAAGGAAUUGACGGGGACCGCACAAGCGGUGGAUGAUGUGGUUAAUUCGAUGCAACGCGAAAAACCUUACCUACCCUUGACAUGUCUGGAAUCCCGAAGAGAUUUGAGAGUGCUCGCAAGAGAAGCAGAACUGGUACUGCAUAGCUGUCGUAGCUCGUGUCGUGAGAUGUUAGGUUAAGUCCCGCAGCAGGCGCAACCCUUGUCAUUAGUUGCUACGAAGGGCACUCUGGCCGGACUGCCACGGUGACAAACCGGAGGAAGGUGGGGAUGACGUCAAGUCACCUCCAUGGCCCUUAUGGGUAGGGCUUUACGUCCAUACAAUGGUCGAGACAGAGGUCCUUAACCCCGCGAGGAGGCCAAUCCCGGCUUGAUCAUGCGUCCGGAUCGCGGUCUGCAACUCGACUGCGUGAAGUCGAAUCGCUAGUAAUCGCGGAUCAGCAUGUCGCGGUGAAUACGUUCCGGGUCUUGUACACACCGCCCGUCACACCAUGGGAGUGGGUUUACCAGAAGUAGUUAGCCUAACCGUAAGGAGGGCGAUUACCACGGUAGGAUUCAUGACUGGGGUAAAGUCGUAACAAGGUAG